GUGCCAGCCGCCGCGGUAAUACCGGCAGCUCGAGUGAUGUCCAAUAUUAUUGGGCCUAAAGCGUCCGUAGCUGGCCGCGCAAGUCCAUCGGGAAAUCCACCUGCUCAACAGGUGGGCGCCCGGUGGAAACUGUGCGGCUUGGGACCGGAAGGCGCGACGGGUACGUCCGGGGUAGGAGUGAGAUCCCGUAAUCCUGGACGGACCGCCGAUGGCGAAAGCACUUCGAGAAAACGGAUCCGACAGUGAGGGACGAAAACCAGGGUCUCCAACCGGAUUAGAUACCCCUGUAGUCC
Molecule: ribosomal RNA, 293 nt
Filed under: uncultured bacterium
Lineage: Bacteria
Description: partial 16S ribosomal RNA
Rfam family: Archaeal small subunit ribosomal RNA
Source: RNAcentral